GUCCACGCCGUAACGAUGGAUACUAGCUGUUGGAGCAAUCUCAGUGGCUAAGCGAAGUGAUAAGUAUCCCACCUGGGAGUACGUUCGCAAGAAUGAAACUCAAAGGAAUUGACGGGCCCGCACAAGCGGUGGAGCAUGUGGUUUAAUUCGAUGAUACGCGAGGAACCUUACCAAGGCUUAAAUGUAGAUUGACCGUUUGGAAACAGAACUUUCGCAAGACAAUUUACAAGGUGCUGCAUGGUUGUCGU
RNAcentral lists this ribosomal RNA (248 nucleotides) under uncultured bacterium. Its description in RNAcentral is "partial 16S ribosomal RNA". It matches the Rfam family "Bacterial small subunit ribosomal RNA", at positions 793 to 1055 of the family's 1533-position model. The record is from RNAcentral.